RNAcentral lists this ribosomal RNA (230 nucleotides) under uncultured bacterium. RNAcentral describes it as "partial 16S ribosomal RNA". It matches the Rfam family "Bacterial small subunit ribosomal RNA", at positions 563 to 791 of the family's 1533-position model. The record is from RNAcentral.
AAGAGCUCGUAGGCGGUUCGGCAAGUCGGAUGUGAAAUCUCCACGCUUAACGUGGAGGGGCCAUUCGAAACUGCUGUGACUCGAGUCCGGUAGGGGAGUGUGGAAUUCCCGGUGUAGCGGUGAAAUGCGCAGAUAUCGGGAGGAACACCAGUAGCGAAGGCGGCACUCUGGGCCGGUACUGACGCUGAGGAGCGAAAGCGUGGGGAGCGAACAGGAUUAGAUACCCCGGU